Meriones unguiculatus (Mongolian gerbil) is the source of this 375-nucleotide non-coding RNA. NCBI's taxonomy places the organism in Eukaryota, Metazoa, Chordata, Mammalia, Rodentia, Muridae. The record is from the annotation of a RefSeq genome assembly.
AUGGAGGCACAGACCCGGGUCUUCAUAUUCCUGCUCCUCUGGAUGUCUGGUGCUGAAGGGGACAUUGUGAUGACCCAGUCUCCUGAAAUCAUGUCCACAUCUGUUGGAGACAGGAUCAGUUUAAGCUGCAAGUCCAGUCAGAGUGUGGGUAGCUAUGUAGCUUGGUACCAGCAAAAACCAGGGCAAUCCCUUAAGCGGCUGAAUUACUAUGCAUCCAGUCGGGACACUGGGGUCCCUGAUCGCUUCACAGGCAGUGCAUCUGGGACAGAUUUCACGCUCAGCAUCAGCAGUGUGCAGGAUGAAGACCUGGCAGUUUAUUACUGUCAGCAGGGUUACAAAAGUCCCUGUUCCUAUUACAAUGGAACCCACUUGGAU